Egretta garzetta (little egret) is the source of this 2345-nucleotide RNA transcript. RefSeq lists it as uncharacterized. The transcript is spliced from 2 exons. The record is from RefSeq and is a predicted model, not a curated record. Lineage: Eukaryota; Metazoa; Chordata; Aves; Pelecaniformes; Ardeidae.
UUCUGCCUCUCAGAUGUGGGAAAAGGUAUUUUUUUUGAGUUUCCAGUAACUCAAUUUGGAAGCUGGCACGCCAAAUCUUGUACUUGCCAUAACGAUCAUUAAUGCCUCAUUAUUUCUUCGUACUUCUCCAUUCUCUGUCUGUUCACUGCCUGCUCAUCAUGUGUUUAAACUGCAAUCUUUUUUUUUUGUUUUGUGUUUUUACGGCUCCUAACACAAUAUGUUCUUGUCCAUGAUUAUAGCUCCUAAGUGUUACGGCAAUACAGUGAAUAAAUUGUAACUACAGAAAUGUAAUUCUUCCCAAAACAAGUAUUAUAAACACUAGGAAACUGAGAUUAAAUUUAGUUUCUAAAGAAAUUCAAACAUGUUGGUGUGAAAAUACAAAACUAAACACCCCAGUAACAUUGAUUCUGCCAUGCAAUGCUAUCAUGCAAUAGCUAUAGAAUUAUUUUGCAUUAUAUUGUUGAUAGCUGCUGGUAGAAUUAAACCAGGUUUUGAAGAUGUAUUCCUUUUAUUUCUCAUUGUUUCCUACCUGGUCCAUCAGUUGGAUGGAGCUGAGAUUGCGUGCACAUUUCCAUAGAUUGUUUGAAUUUCUUUCUAUACUUUUACAUGAAAAACGUAAAGUGGUUUUAAAUAUAUUAAAGCCUUAAAACUGUAGAUCAAGGUGAACUGUGUUCAUUGCAUGCUUAUUCCAGCUGGUUGCUGAAGGAUACAUGUGGGAGGAAGAAAGGAAAUAAUUUGAAAGAAAGGGCUUGGGUUUUCUAUUUUGUUUAUGUUUUUUUUUUAGUCAUCAACCUCUGGGCUUGCUUGACAGUAACUAUGAAUAAGCCGUCUCUGUGUGUAAGCAGAAGUGUAUCGGUGUUUUCUGGUCUCUGUUGAAGUCUUUUGCUCUUACAUUGCACUUGCAGUGUUUUUGCCAAGGAGUUGAGAAAGCAACGUAUGCUUAAUUCAGUCACAUGGAAUUUUGGGGUGGUGGACGCACAUCAUCAGACCCACGAGUGGCUGCAAAGAUUGGGGCUAAUCGAAACGGAUUCUUCUGGUGGGCCCCCUCUAGCUUAAGAAGAGUGCUUAGCCUUCCUGAAAGCUUAAAUUGUUCAUAUUUUCUAUGUGACUGUUAGGAAAUACUUCCCCAAACUGCAAAUUAAUCUUUAAUUUGCAUAUGCUUUCUCAACUUUCAUUAGUAGGAAGAAUAGCUAAUUUGUUUUCUCUCCAAAUAAAUGUUGUUUAGUCUUUGAUGCAGUUAUUGAAUCAGUUAUCGAUUUUCUGUAGUAACAAUUUUUUAUUUUUGUAGCUCAUCUAAAACAUCUACGAAUACAUGUUAGUAUAUGAUAUUGUUGCAUUACUGAAAUAAUUGUCUAGAUAUGGGAUAGGAUCUAAUUUUACUAUCUUUUAAUGCCCAAAUCAUUACAACUUUCACAAACUUUAUGGUUUGUUUCAGAAACAAUGGUUUCUGCCUCGCUGUUUCUCUGGCUGCUGGUCUAGCGCAUUGCCAUAGUGUACUCUGUAACAUCAGCACCCCACUGUUAUGUGGAGCCAGUUUUAUGUUCUUCAGUUUUACUUAGAGAAACCGACAUAGUCUGAGUAUGAAAUGCUUCCUUAACUGCGGUUACGUUGUCUUCCAGCAACUGCAAAGGGAAAUCAAGAUCCCCUCUUCGUGUCUCUUGAUCUUCACCAGACUUGAAGAACCUGUAGUUCUUAGAGCUGGAGUUUCCAUAGGUGGCUGUAAUGUCCAUAAUAUGAAGUAAUUAAGCGAUCGGUAGUCAUAAUUUGAGCCAAAUGGAGGGCCAUGCAUGUCAUCUGCUGCGGAAGUAUUGAGAGACAAGUAAUGGGUUCCUGUACGUGUCCGUGAAAUUCCACAAAGAGCAGUAUUAUUAAUUUGGUCAAGAUACAAGAGUUAAAUGGGUUUGGACACAAUGUCGCAUGAUUUAUUGCUCAUUUCUUCUAGUGUCCCCAGCCUAUAUUAUGCCCAUCCACAGUUGCAUCUACAGGAGUAAUUACCUGAUAAAAGACACAAAAGAAAUCGGUUUUGUUGAGAGUAAAACACAAUCCUAGCUCAGUCUUACAUGUGAUGUGUUCAUAAAAAGGCAAUGAACUCCAGAUUGCCUCUCUGUAGAAAUUUAGAAUAAAAAUAUCCCAGAAGCAACCAAAGGAUUUUGAGUGGAAGGUAAGCUCAUAGUUUUUAAUUUUAUGUUACACUGUUUCGCUAAGUAUACAUCUGUAUACGUUUCUGACAUUUUAUCAACUAUUUUAACUUAGUUCACAAAAUAAAUUAAUGUAAUUCUUAAUAAUAUAUAUUAAUGGCCCAAACUCUUCCCCUAGAAGUCUCAUUUUAUCUUUACAUCCCCCAA